This 219-nucleotide small nucleolar RNA is filed under the name Carlito syrichta (Philippine tarsier). RNAcentral describes it as "Small nucleolar RNA U3 (ENSTSYG00000029566.1)". It matches the Rfam family "Small nucleolar RNA U3". From Rfam's summary of the family: Small nucleolar RNAs (snoRNAs) are involved in the processing and modification of rRNA in the nucleolus. Lineage: Eukaryota; Metazoa; Chordata; Mammalia; Primates; Tarsiidae. The record is from RNAcentral.
AAGACUAUACUUUCAGGGAUCACUUCUAUAGUUUGUUACUAGAGAGGUUUCUCUGAUUGUGUAGAGCACCAGAAACCACGAGGAGGAGGCACAGCGUCCUCUCCUGAGCGUGAAGGCGGCUCUUGGUGUUGUUUUCGCCACAACCUGCCAUUUGAUGAUUUGAUGAUCGUUCCUGCUCUCCUUUGGGGGAGCAAGAGGGAGAGAAUGCAGUCCGAGUGU